GUAAAGAUGACAGAACCUGGCAAUUGCAUAAAACUUAAAACUUUAUAAUCAGAGGUUCAACUCCUCUUCUUAACA
This is a transfer RNA of Chlorocebus sabaeus (green monkey), 75 nucleotides long. It matches the Rfam family "tRNA". From Rfam's summary of the family: Transfer RNA (tRNA) molecules are approximately 80 nucleotides in length. Their secondary structure includes four short double-helical elements and three loops (D, anti-codon, and T loops). The record is from Rfam. NCBI's taxonomy places the organism in Eukaryota, Metazoa, Chordata, Mammalia, Primates, Cercopithecidae.